Molecule: ribosomal RNA, 430 nt
Filed under: Clostridioides difficile
Lineage: Bacteria; Bacillati; Bacillota; Clostridia; Peptostreptococcales; Peptostreptococcaceae
Description: bacterial LSU rRNA
Rfam family: Bacterial large subunit ribosomal RNA
Source: RNAcentral
GUCAAGAAAAGGCUCUAUCGAGGUUAAAGGGACCCGUACCGCAAACCGACACAGGGGGGUGAGGAGAGGAUCCUAAGGCUAGCGAGAGAACUGGUGUUAAGGAAAGUGUCAAAAUGACCCCGUAACUUAGUGAUAAGGGGUGCCACCAUCAGGUGGCAGCAGAGAAUAGGCCCAAGCGACUGUUUACCAAAAACAUAGGUUUCUGCUAAGUCGCAAGCCGAUGUAUAGGAGCUGACGCCUGCACGGUGCUGGAAGGUUAAGGGGAUCUGUUAGAGCAAUCGAAGCAGUGAACUUAAGCCCCAGUAAACGCCGGCCGUACCUAUACCGGGCCUAAGGUCGCGCCAUUCCUUGUCGGGUACGUUCCGACGCGCACGCAAGGCGUAACGAUUUGGGCACUGGCUCAACAACAGACUCGGUGAACUUGUAAUUC